Molecule: ribosomal RNA, 414 nt
Filed under: uncultured bacterium
Lineage: Bacteria
Description: bacterial SSU rRNA
Rfam family: Bacterial small subunit ribosomal RNA
Source: RNAcentral
GAGGAAUAUUGGGCAAUGCCCGCAAGGGUGACCCAGCAACGCCGCGUGGAGGAUGAAUGUCGUAAGAUUGUAAACUCCUGUUAGAGGGGAAGAAUAGUACCGGUUGGACCGGUAUAUGACUGUACCCUCAGAGAAAGCCCCGGCUAACUACGUGCCAGCAGCCGCGGUAAUACGUAGGGGGCAAGCGUUGUCCGGAUUUACUGGGUGUAAAGGGCGCGCAGGCGGGAGAAAAAGUCAGUGGUGAAAUCCUACAGCUUAACUGUAGAACUGCCUUUGAUACUUUUAUUCUUGAGUUCGGGAGAGAGAGACGGAAUUCCAGGUGUAGUGGUGAAAUACGUAGAUAUCUGGAAGAACACCUGUUGCGAAGGCGGUCUCUUGGUCCGACACUGACGCUGAGGCGCGAAAGCGUGGGGA